CAGUCGCCGCGGGAAUACGUAGGGUGCAAGCGUUAAUCGGAAUUACUGGGCGUAAAGCGUGCGCAGGCGGUUAUAUAAGACAGAUGUGAAAUCCCCGGGCUCAACCUGGGAACUGCAUUUGUGACUGUAUAGCUAGAGUACGGCAGAGGGGGAUGGAAUUCCGCGUGUAGCAGUGAAAUGCGUAGAUAUGCGGAGGAACACCGAUGGCGAAGGCAAUCCCCUGGGCCUGUACUGACGCUCAUGCACGAAAGCGUGGGGAGCAAACAGGAUUAGAUACCUCGGUAGUCCCUGUCUCUUAUAC
Molecule: ribosomal RNA, 301 nt
Filed under: uncultured bacterium
Lineage: Bacteria
Description: partial 16S ribosomal RNA
Rfam family: Bacterial small subunit ribosomal RNA
Source: RNAcentral